This is a long non-coding RNA of Halichondria panicea, 928 nucleotides long. RefSeq lists it as uncharacterized. NCBI's taxonomy places the organism in Eukaryota, Metazoa, Porifera, Demospongiae, Suberitida, Halichondriidae. The transcript is spliced from 2 exons. The record is from RefSeq and is a predicted model, not a curated record.
UAGCCUCGAUCCCAGGCCGAGUUUUCGCUUUUAUAACGGUUAGGCGAACAACUGGGCCUGGUACUAGUUGUCUGCGCAUGCGUCAAUCGUUCGUCAGAUUCUGACGAAUGGAUAUUCUCGUUCACUUUCGUGACAUUUAUAUUCGUGUACUAUCGUGUACUAGAAGUCAGUUCCCGUUUUAUCAUUAAUUGGAAUGGCUCUUAGCUGAAGCUUCUCUCUUCUCUGAAGCUUAUUCUGAAGACUGAACAACAAGGGAAGAGGUAUAAAGCUUUGUCAAGCUUGUUAAGGUCAGAUAUUUUUGUGUGGGCCCUAUGGCCGGCUAUGCUAUCAAGUCUUGUUCAUGUUUGGCAAGAAUGUAGGUAGACUAUAGUUUCAUCAUUAAUAUGGUGGAUCAAGUGAAGAGUGUGAGCUAGAGAACUUGGUGCUGCCAUCAUCAGCUCGUCGACAAUGACACUAUAACCGAGAAAUUUAAUAUGUAUAGAUCUACACGUAUUUAAAAUGUCUACUUCUCUGUACAGGAGCAAUGGCUAAUAUCCAGCUAUCCCAACAGUGCUCCUCUUGGCUAUACUAACGGACGAGACUGGACAGUUUGAGACACAGGACUGGAGUAUGACCUGCUCAUUCGAGCGUUGCUGGGUAGCUCAGAGACAUCAAGAGAAUCUACGUUUUCUCAAGCAAUGAGUUACGAGUUGGGGCCUAGAAUCAGAGAAGUCCAGCAGCCUGCUAAAUCUUUUUGAAACGUAAUUUGAAGGCAUUCAAUCAUCCUGAAGUUGCCCUGGGUCACUGUAAUUGUGCUGCAGCACAACUGGCAACUCCCCAGGCCUUUGUGAAGCAGCUCCCUAUGUGCAUCUUUUGUGUACUCACUCUGUGCAUUUUCUGUGUACAAAUUUCCAUUAUUGAUUUAUUAAAUAUUUUUGCCGACCACAAA